GUGUGUGAGCCGGCUGCCGAGAAAAGCCGCUAUUGUUUGUACUGUACCCGUACCGUAAACCGACACAGGUGGAUGAGGAGAGAAUCCUAAGGCCGACGGAAGAAGCAUUGCUAAGGAACUCGGCAAAAUGACCCUGUAACUUCGGGGGAAAGGGUGCCUCGAAAGAGGCCGCAGAGAAUAGGCCCAAGCAACUGUUUAGCAAAAACACAGGUCUAUGCAAAACCGCAAGGUGAAGUAUAUGGGCUGACGCCUGCCCGGUGCUGGAAGGUUAAGGGGAGAUGUCAGGAGACGAAGCAUCGAACUUAAGCCCCAGUAAACGGCGGCCGUAACUAUAACGGUCCUAAGGUAGCGAAGUUCCUUGUCGGGUAAGUUCCGACCCGCACGAAAGGCGUAAUGAUUUGGGCGCUGUCUCGGCAAUGCAUCCGCUGAAAUUGAAGUGCCAGUGAAGAUGCUGGCUACCCGCGCCAGGACGGAAAGACCCCAUGGAGCUUUACUCCAGCUUGAUACUGGGAUUCGGUAUUGUAUGUACAGGAUAGGUGGGAGGCUGAGAAAUGGUGACGCCAGUCGCCAUGGAGCCGCUGUUGGGAUACCACCCUUGCAGUACUGGAUUUCUAACCAGCAGCCGUGAUCCGGCUGGGGGACAAUGUCAGGUGGGGAGUUUGACUGGGGCGGUCGCCUCCGAAAGGGUAUCGGAGGCGCUCAAAGGUUCCCUCAGAAUGGUCGGAAACCAUUCGAAGAGUGCAAAGGCAGAAGGGAGCUUGACUGCGACACCGACGGGUGGGGCAGGUACGAAAGUAGGACUUAGUGAUCCGGUGGUAUUAAGUGGGAAUGCCAUCGCUCAACGGAUAAAAGCUACCCUGGGAUAACAGGCUUAUCACUCCCAAGAGUUCACAUCGACGGAGUGGUUUGGCACCUCGAUGUCGGCUCAUCGCAUCCUGGGGCUGUAGUAGGUCCCAAGGGUUGGGCUGUUCGCCCAUUAAAGCGGUACGCGAGCUGGGUUCAGAACGUCGUGAGACAGUUCGGUCCCUAUCCGGCGUGGGCGUAGGAUAUUUGAGAGGAGCUGACCUUAGUACGAGAGGACCGGGUUGGACUGACCUCUGGUGCACCGGUUGUCAUGCCAAUGGCACAGCCGGGUAGCCAAGUCGGGAAGGGAUAAACGCUGAAGGCAUCUAAGCGUGAAGCCCCCCUCAAGAUGAGAUAUCCCCCGCAUAAGCGGUAAGACCCCUUGAAGACGACGAGGUAGAUAGGGCAGAGGUGGAAGUGCAGUAAUGUAUGGAGCUGACUGCUACUAAUAGGUCGAAGGCUUAAC
RNAcentral lists this ribosomal RNA (1309 nucleotides) under metagenome. Its description in RNAcentral is "bacterial LSU rRNA". It matches the Rfam family "Bacterial large subunit ribosomal RNA", at positions 1592 to 2925 of the family's 2925-position model. The record is from RNAcentral.